UACGUAGGCAGCAAGCGUUGUUCGGAGUUACUGGGCGUAAAGGGUGCGUAGGUGGCUCUAUAAGUAUGGUGUGAAAUCUCCCGGCUUAACUGGGAGGGUGCGCCGUAGACUGUGGGGCUAGAGUGUGGGAGAGGAAAGUGGAAUUCCUGGUGUAGCGGUGAAAUGCGUAGAUAUCAGGAGGAACACCGGUGGUGUAAACGGCUUUCUGGACCAUAACUGACACUGAGGCACGAAAGCGUGGGGUAGCAAACAGG
This 254-nucleotide ribosomal RNA is filed under the name uncultured bacterium. Its description in RNAcentral is "partial 16S ribosomal RNA". It matches the Rfam family "Bacterial small subunit ribosomal RNA", at positions 524 to 776 of the family's 1533-position model. The record is from RNAcentral.